Molecule: ribosomal RNA, 380 nt
Filed under: uncultured Nitrososphaerota archaeon
Lineage: Archaea; Thermoproteati; Nitrososphaerota
Description: bacterial SSU rRNA
Rfam family: Archaeal small subunit ribosomal RNA
Source: RNAcentral
UAAAACCAGCACCUCAAGUGGUCAGGAGGAUUAUUGGGCCUAAAGCAUCCGUAGCCUGUUCUGUUAGUUUUCGGUUAAAUCUAUGCGCUCAACGCAUAGGCUGCCAAAAAUACUGCAGAACUAGGGAGUGGGAGAGGUAGACGGUACUCGGUAGGAAGGGGUAAAAUCUUUUGAUCUAUCGAUGACCACCUGUGGCGAAGGCGGUCUACCAGAACACGUUCGACGGUGAGGGAUGAAAGCUGGGGGAGCAAACCGGAUUAGAUACCCGGGUAGUCCCAGCUGUAAACGAUGCAGACUCGAUGAUGCAUUAGCAUAUAGCUAGUGCAGUGUCGCAGGGAAGCCGUUAAGUCUGCCGCCUGGGAAGUACGUACGCAAGUAUG